AGGACGAACGCUGGCGGCGUGCUUAACGCAUGCAAGUCGAGCGGUAAGGCUCCUUCGGGAGUACACGAGCGGCGAACGGGUGAGUAACACAUGAGCAAUCUGCCCUUCUCUUCGGAAUAACCAUUGGAAACGAUGGCUAAUGCCGAAUACGACCUCCUUUCGCAUGAUCGGAGGUGGAAAGCUCCGGCGGAGAAGGAUGAGCUCGCGGCCUAUCAGCUAGUUGGCGGGGUAACGGCCCACCAAGGCGACGACGGGUAGCCGGCCUGAGAGGGUGACCGGCCACACUGGGACUGAGACACGGCCCAGACUCCUACGGGAGGCAGCAGUGGGGAAUAUUGGACAAUGGGCGAAAAGCCUGAUCCAGCAACGCCGCGUGAGGGAUGACGGCCUCGGUGUAAACCGUCUUUCUAGCAGGACGAAGCGAAAGUGACGUACCUGCAGAAGAAGGACGGACCGAACUACGUAGCCAGCAGCCGC
RNAcentral lists this ribosomal RNA (477 nucleotides) under uncultured soil bacterium. RNAcentral describes it as "bacterial SSU rRNA". It matches the Rfam family "Bacterial small subunit ribosomal RNA", at positions 26 to 518 of the family's 1533-position model. The record is from RNAcentral.